CAGGGAGACAACAAAAUGUUUAAUAUUAUUUUGUCACCUUAGGUCGAUCGGUAUCUCACAUUUUUAAUUUAUUAAGAAUUUCAUUUCCUAAGUUUUUCUAGGUCACACCCAUUAUUUUCCUGGGCCAUUAGCUCAGGUGGUUAGAGCGCACCCCUGAUAAGGGUGAGGUCCCUGGUUCAAGUCCAGGAUGGCCCAUAUCUCUAUGUUGGGGGUAUAGCUCAGUUGGUAGAGCGCCUGCUUUGCAAGCAGGAUGUCAGCGGUUCGAGUCCGCUUACCUCCACUGAUUACCACCUCUCUCAUAACCGGUAGAAAGGAAAUGUUUUGAGUUGUGAUCAAAUUCUGAAAGAAUCUAGCUUCCUAAUGAAAUCAUUAAGAUGCUGGACUCAUUGAAUUAAUUUCAUUGUUUUCAGAGAACCUUGACAACUGCAUAGAUUAUUUUUAAAGACAAUAAGCAUCUUUAAUGAUGCAGAUUUAUUAUUUGUGCGAAUGCAUUAAUAACAAUUCUAUUAAGCUGAUGCUUCAAUUUUUGAAGUUAUU
This 537-nucleotide transfer RNA is filed under the name uncultured Prochlorococcus sp. RNAcentral's name for it is "partial 16S-23S ribosomal RNA intergenic spacer". The stretch from base 208 to 280 matches the Rfam family "tRNA". Lineage: Bacteria; Bacillati; Cyanobacteriota; Cyanophyceae; Synechococcales; Prochlorococcaceae. The record is from RNAcentral.